AGGAGAGACUGUUUGGAGGUGGAACAUCAUCAGCUUUAUUAACACUGUCCCAUCUCACUCCUUUAGGAUCCUAUGAAUCUCCUCUUUCAACUCCACCUUUAAAAAUAACUCCUCCUCUUCCAAAAUCUUUAAGUCUCUUCUACUCUUACAAAUUACAAUAUAUAUACUAACAAAAAUUUGCUGACUUUUAUUUGCAAAACUAGAAGUCAAGUUCUUCUAGCUUCUCUAAUUAUUAUUAGAUUCAGUACAUUGAGCUCUUCCAAAAGUUUCUGAAGAAAUAAUCAUCAUUUUAACAUUAGGUUCCGAUCCAGUAUGGGCCUCUCACAAUAUCCAGCUCCAGCAGAUGCCGGAGUACUCUGUGUAAUUCUGGUAAACACAGCCAUAUCUAUUUCCAUUGUCAAGGAGAUAGUCCGCUCGAUCCUUCAUGUUAUCGGCAUCCGUAUCGCAUCAUGGGAAGACUAUUCUAUUGAAGGAUCAUUUGAAUGUCGCGGAAGCCCAUCGGAGUCAUACAUGGAAGAGUUUAGAAGCCGAACACCUGCAUUUCGUUAUGACUCGGUCUGUAUCUCUAACCACUCGGAACAAGAAUGCUCUGUGUGCCUGACAAAAUUCGAGCCUAACGCGGAGAUAAACUGUCUCUCCUGUGGCCAUGUUUUCCAUAAGCUGUGUCUAGAGAAGUGGCUCAAGUAUUGGCAAAUAACUUGCCCUCUUUGCAGGAAACACAUGAUGUAUCACGAACAAGAGGACGAUACAUGUCCGAUGUGAGAUUAAAUUUUUAAUGAUGCCACUUCAUCCAUUUGAGGAUGUUAUUAUGUACAGCUUAGUAGUAGUGUACAGGCUGAGUAUGUGGAUGCUUGAUCUUUGGCACGACGUAGUCCUAUAGCUUGUUAUGUUUUGUGAUCCUUUUGCGUCCUCUCUGAGUGACGGGUCUCUUUGUUUGUGACCAAAAACCUAUACAUUGUUGUACAUAAUGUAGUCCUAUAGCUUGUUAUAUUUGUGAUGCUUUGCGUCCUCUCUGAGCGACGGGUCUCUUUGGUGUGACCAAGAACUUAUACAUUGUUGUACAUAUAUUACCGAAGCUGUUUCUGAUGUUCAA
This is a long non-coding RNA of Nicotiana attenuata, 1093 nucleotides long. RefSeq lists it as uncharacterized. The transcript has 3 exons. Lineage: Eukaryota; Viridiplantae; Streptophyta; Magnoliopsida; Solanales; Solanaceae. The record is from RefSeq and is a predicted model, not a curated record.